UCUGUUCUCAAGUAGAAUAUUAGUUAAGAGAAGAGGGCAGGUUAGGGUCUGGCCUCUUGAUUCAUCAAAGAGAAUUGUCCUAAAUAUUAUCCCUUUUAUUAAGGGAUUGGGUUUUUUUUUUUUCAACUGUUCCUAUUUUUUUUUUUGGUUUUUGAAUAAUUUAAAUAAAAAUCUGUAGACAAUCUGGGAAACUUCAGUGGUAAAACCUGCACCGCAUAAUGGUUGGUGUGUAAUGUCAUGGUAUAUGUAUUUUGGUUGUUAGGUUCAAAGAUUCAUAUUUUUUUUUUGACAUGCUUACUUUUUAGAAGUGUUUUUUUUUGAGAUGGAGUUUUCGCUUUUGUCGCCCAGGCUGGAGUGCAAUGGCAUGAUCUCAGCUUACUGCAACCUCUGCCUCCUGGGUUCAGGCAGUUCUCCUGCCUCAGCCUCCCGAGUAGCUGGGAUUUACAGGUGCCUGCCACCAUGCCCAGCUAAUUUUUGUAUUUUCAGUAGAGACGGGAUCUCACCAUGUUGGCCAGGCUGGCCUCAGAUGAUCCACCUGCCUCGGCCUCCCAAAGUGCUGGGAUUACAGAUGUAAGCCACUGUGCCUGGCCUAGAAGUGUCUUAUGGUGAUUUUUUGAUGAAUGUUCAUAUGAUUUUUCAGGUCAGAUGCUGCUGAAGUAUAUCCUUAGGCCGCUGGCAUCUUGCCCAUCCCUUCAUGCUGUGAUAGAAAGCCAGCCUAACAUAGUUAUUAUUCGUUUUGAAUCUAUAAUGACUAACUUGGAAUAUCCAUCACCAUCUGAAGUUUUUACAAAGAUCAGACUGGUACUAGAAGUGCUCCAGAAACAGCUUCUAGGUAUGUGUCUCCAAGGCAGUGCUUUUAUAUUUUGGAAACUAAAUAUUGUUUAUAAAAGUAAAUAUUAUUUUAAAGUAGAAAUGCCUAUAAUGUGUGAGAAAGGAGGAUGAAAAGUAAGUAAAUUGUGCCAUAGGGGCAAAAGAGUUGCCUUCUUGUUUUUUUGCCUAUUUUGCAUUCCUUCUCUGCAUUGUAUUGACAAGUAGGGCCAUCAGUGGUACCCCAGAUUCUGUAUUUGUGAUAUUAUUUUAGUUGAAUUCUAGGAUGCACUUCUCUCACUGGACUCCCAGUACCGUCACAAAUUGGAACUCGUGCUUUAAUUAUAGGAGAAGAAGAAAUGAACCAAGUGUUGUUUUACAUAUUUCCAUUAAAACCUCUAUUAAUCUGAUAUAACCAAACUUAGUUUAACAUAGGAAAUAAAUUCUAUUUCAGCCUGUUGAUCUUGGUGUAUUCACACUAGACACAGCCAGUUUCUGUAUUCCAUAAAUCAUGUUUUUGGUUGUUGUACCAUUAAAAGUGAAGUCUCUUGUGUUUUAAUACUGCUUUUUUUUUUUUUUAAGUCUAUUUGAUUUACCUUCUAUGUGCUUUUCUCAGCUGUCAUAUUGAAUAGCCUGGCUAACCAUUCUUGCUGUGGCUAAAGUAAAAAAGAAAUGCUCCUACUGUUUGUGGGCCUUCCUGGCAGUCAUAUACUGUAUAUUUAUGUAUAAAUAAUCUAUAUGUAAAGCAAGGACUUUUCUAUAGUUUUGAUGAGAGCAGAGAAAAAAAAAUCCUAAGGCUUGCAUAAACUUCAGAAAUCCAAGGUAGUUUUUCUUGUUCCCAGAGCCUUCCCUUAGGGAGGAAUACAAUUUUAUUUUCACUAGAUAUAAAUUAAGUUGUAAACAAAGCAUCCAAAGAUUAGAAGGAAUUGGAGAGAUGAUUUGGUCCAAAUAUCUCAGAUGCCUGAAUCUCCUCUAUAAUAUUCCAUCAAUUGGUCAGAUAGCCAAU
Molecule: long non-coding RNA, 1813 nt
Filed under: Homo sapiens (human)
Lineage: Eukaryota; Metazoa; Chordata; Mammalia; Primates; Hominidae
Description: non-protein coding lnc-USP28-4:1
Source: RNAcentral